UACAGAGGGUGCGAGCGUUGUUCGGAAUUAUUGGGCGUAAAGCGCGCGCAGGCGGUUUCUUAAGUCUGAUGUGAAAGCCCACGGCUCAACCGUGGAGGGUCAUUGGAAACUGGGGAACUUGAGUGCAGAAGAGAAGAGCGGAAUUCCACGUGUAGCGGUGAAAUGCGUAGAGAUGUGGAGGAACACCAGUGGCGAAGGCGGUUCUUUGGUCUGUAACUGACGCUGAGGCGCGAAAGCGUGGGGAGCAAACAGG
RNAcentral lists this ribosomal RNA (253 nucleotides) under uncultured bacterium. Its description in RNAcentral is "partial 16S ribosomal RNA". It matches the Rfam family "Bacterial small subunit ribosomal RNA", at positions 524 to 776 of the family's 1533-position model. The record is from RNAcentral.